Danio aesculapii is the source of this 359-nucleotide long non-coding RNA. RefSeq lists it as uncharacterized. NCBI's taxonomy places the organism in Eukaryota, Metazoa, Chordata, Actinopteri, Cypriniformes, Danionidae. The transcript is spliced from 3 exons. The record is from RefSeq and is a predicted model, not a curated record.
UGAAGAGGGGAUUGUGUGGACUUGACCUGAAGCUGUCGUACGGAUUCUUUAAUUUGAGCCACCUCUACACUGAGAUCCUUCAACAAUGCCAUGUCAGACCGGAUUCCUUUUAACUCAUUCAAAAGGCAACAUUGACCUUGUCCAAGAGAAGUUUAUCGCUCACCUCAGUUCUUGUCAGGGACCGCAGGCACCUUCACUUCACUGAUCUCCUGGGCUGAGUAAGAAGAUGAAUGGCACUGGAGGAAGACUGUCAUCACUCGAAGCCGACCCAUACUGCAUCCAUCCCAGUGGUGCCUCCAAAAUGUAGUGCCCUCACCGCCUGAUGAGGGACAAUAAUGUUAUUGAAAACACAGGAAACA